AUGGCGGUGGCGGCGCCGGGGCAGCUGAACCUCGACGAGUUCCCCUCCUGGGGCUCCCGCGGCGUCGACUGCUUCGAGAAGCUCGAGCAGAUCGGCGAGGGCACCUACGGGCAGGUGUACAUGGCCAAGGAGACGGAGACCAACGAGAUCGUCGCGCUCAAGAAGAUCCGCAUGGACAACGAGCGCGAGGGCUUCCCCAUCACGGCGAUCCGCGAGAUCAAGAUCCUCAAGAAGCUCCACCACCAGAACGUCAUCCAGCUCAAGGAGAUCGUCACCUCCCCAGGCCCGGACCGAGACGAGCAAGGGAAGCCAAUCGACGGCAACAAGUACAAGGGGAGCAUCUACAUGGUCUUCGAGUACAUGGACCACGACCUCACCGGACUCGCCGACAGGCCCGGGAUGCGCUUCACCGUGCCGCAGAUCAAGUGCUACAUGAAGCAGCUGCUCACAGGCCUGCACUACUGCCACGUCAAUCAGGUGCUGCAUCGAGAUAUCAAAGGUUCUAACCUUUUGAUAGACAAUGAGGGUAACCUCAAGCUGGCUGAUUUUGGGCUUGCGAGGUCGUUCUCUAGUGAUCACAAUGGCAACCUGACUAACCGUGUCAUCACCUUAUGGUAUAGACCUCCAGAACUGCUUCUCGGAAGCACAAGGUAUGGUCCAGCUGUUGACAUGUGGUCUGUGGGUUGUAUUUUUGCUGAGCUUCUCAAUGGAAAGCCAAUCCUGCCAGGGAAGAAUGAGCCGGAGCAGCUGACCAAAAUUUUCGAGCUUUGUGGCACCCCUGACGAGUUAAUCUGGCCUGGUGUCACUAAGAUGCCGUGGUACAACAACUUCAAGCCUCCCAGAGUAUUGAAGAGAAAAGUUAAAGAUGCCUUUAAACAUUUUGACCGGCAUGCUCUGGACCUGUUGGAGAGGAUGUUAACUUUAGAUCCAUCACAGAGGAUACCAGCGAAGGAGGCACUUGAUGCAGAGUAUUUCUGGACUGAUCCCUUGCCAUGUGACCCGAAAAGUUUGCCAUCGUAUGAGGCAUCACACGAAUUCCAGACUAAGAAAAAACGUCAGCAGCAGAGGCAAGCGGAGGAAGCUGCAAAGCGCCAAAAAAUAAAUCAUCCUCCCCCACAUUCUCGCUUGCCUCCGAUCCAGCAUCCAGGCCAAUCACACCAGAUCAGGCCUGGCCAUGCGCCACCUGUGGCAGGUGGCUCGAGCCACUAUGCGAAACCUCGGGGACCUGGAGGGCCUAACAGGUACCCGCAGGGUGGGAACCAAGGCGCAGGCUAUAAUAACCCGAACCGCGGAGGGCAAGGCAGUGGCUAUGGCAGCGCCCCGUAUCCUCAGCAAGGAAGAGGACCUCCUCCGUUCCCUGCAGCAGGUGCUCCACGCGGUGGUGCCGGCAGUGGCUAUGGAGUCGGUGGCCCAAAUUACCCACCAGGCGGUCCGCCGUAUGGCACGUCUGGUCCAGGCCGAGGAGGCCCCAACUAUCCUCAAGGCGGUUCUCGCAAUCAGCAGCAGUAUGGUAGCUGGCAAUAA
This 1524-nucleotide ribosomal RNA is filed under the name Triticum aestivum (bread wheat). RNAcentral's name for it is "partial small subunit ribosomal RNA". Lineage: Eukaryota; Viridiplantae; Streptophyta; Magnoliopsida; Poales; Poaceae. The record is from RNAcentral.